Molecule: ribosomal RNA, 393 nt
Filed under: Triticum aestivum (bread wheat)
Lineage: Eukaryota; Viridiplantae; Streptophyta; Magnoliopsida; Poales; Poaceae
Description: partial small subunit ribosomal RNA
Source: RNAcentral
AUGCCUACCUGUUUCUCUGACAUCAUCAAAGACCAUUCCCUAGAUUUCAUUUGCCUUCAAGAAACUAUGAAAAAAACCUUCCCCCCUAAAAGUCUUAGGAAGAUUGAUUGUAUGAGUAAUUUUGAUUGGAAUUGGGUACCCUCGAAUGGUAAAGCAGGUGGUAUCCUAUGUGGUGUCAGGAAGGAAACCUUGGAAGUGAUAUCCUGGACCUCUGGUAGAUUCUGUCUACAGGCAAACCUAUACGAUGUUAAGCUCAAACGUAUUUGGGCAAUCAUAACAGUCUAUGGGGCGGCUCAUGACGACAGUAAAGAUGACUUCCUUACUGAACUUGCCUCGGUGUGCUCGUGCACUCAGGUUCCUUAUAUAGUGGGAGGUGACUUUAAUAUUUUAUGA